Stegodyphus mimosarum is the source of this 73-nucleotide non-coding RNA. The record is from Rfam. Lineage: Eukaryota; Metazoa; Arthropoda; Arachnida; Araneae; Eresidae.
GCCUUCGUGGUGUAGUGGUCAGCACGCUCGGCGCGUAUUCGAGAGGUCCGUGGUUCGAGUCCCGGCGAGGGCA